RNAcentral lists this long non-coding RNA (1897 nucleotides) under Bactrocera latifrons. RNAcentral describes it as "uncharacterized LOC108968608, transcript variant X3". The record is from RNAcentral. Lineage: Eukaryota; Metazoa; Arthropoda; Insecta; Diptera; Tephritidae.
GGUACUUCACCACUUGUACGCGCUCUCAUGGCUUCAGUUCUCUUUGAGUUGUUGAAUCCGAUUGUCGUCGUUCACUUGCAAACCGUCGUACGCACGAAACAAUAUAAGAACCAUACAAAAUAUCGCUAGCAACUGUUGCUUUUAUCUAUGCAAAGCAUUUUGUGUGCUCGCCACCAAUCAAAUUAGUGAAUUGUGCAAAUAGGAGAAGAAAAUAAAUGUAAACAAGAAAACUGCAUCUGUUCCAAAGCAAAUGUUAGUGAUUAGAAGUCAAUUGGUGUUGCAGUGCAUAUUCUCCUUCCAGUGAAAUAUUUUGUGUGGUUUCAGUGCGAUUUUUGCUGGUAGGCCUUCGGUGCGCUGCUCUUUUGUGUGUUGUGCUCUUAUCCCUGAACGAAGUUACAGUGCAGCAGCAUUCUUUGUUGUCACAGGGCGCGCACAUUGGAAUUUUGCUUACUAACAACGAAGUGCCCACAAGUCCUACCCCCCCAAAAACCGUUGCCUAGUUGCGUUACGUAGUGUUUUGAUUUUUCACCUACCUAUUUAUUUUACGUUUGGCUUCCCAACGUUAUUCGUUACUUGGCUUUCUGGCUUACCUUCUUAUUUACAUACUCUACAUGCAUACAUAUACAUAUGUAUAUGUGUGAAUAUGAGUGCACUCGUCGGACGUGCGGUCGGUCGUUAAUGUCAGUGCAUUUGUUGAUGCUAGAAACCGGUUAUUGCUCCCCAACAAAUAGCGUAAAUGUUUCAAAUAGGUAGGUGUUGCUGUGUGCGGUUCUGCCAAUGAAGAAGCCCAUAAAAGCCAUUGGCGAGAAAAGAAAAAAUCUGUAAUAACAAAAUAAGUUAAGAUAGUUUUGCGCUAAAAAAUUCAAAACAAUGAAAAACGAAAAAAUGCACAUAAACAAAAUAACUCAAUUGAAGGCAUAACAUCAACAAUAAAAAAUAUUAAAGAACCAACGCUAUUUAGCUCCGAAGUUUAGUGGGGAAAAAACAACAACAACAUAAGUGAACAAAUAAAGUCUGCAGGCAACUACAACAACUGUGUCAACGGCAAGUGCAAAAGCUUUGUUUGCUGCACCAAAAACAACAACGCUCAAUACGAACAAGUGUACAUACAUAUGUAUGUGUAAGUAUAUGUGUAAAUAUUUACUAUAUACAUACAUAUGUAUGUUCUGUUGCAUUAAAAUCCGUUGCAAAUUCAAUGACACGCGAAGCUGCGCAGUUAAAUCAAAAGGUUAAUUGAUUUUUAAUUAAAAAGAAAGUCGGCACACUAGCGCAUAUGUAUGUAUGAAUGUACAUACAUAUGUAAAAUAUUUGCAUUUGAUUUGACUUUAAGUGGAAAUCCAGUUUUGUGAAAUUAAAAUAAUAAAUAUGUAUGUAAAUGCCAACGCACGACACAAGUGUAAAAAAGUAAAGAAUUUUGUCGCAGCGCAAGUUAUCAACAGCAAUAAAGAUUUUCCACAAUUUACCACAACAUCAAAAUUACUUUAGACGUCAACAAAGACCUGAAAGAUUGCUAUUGAGUUCGCCUUCCAAAGUAUAAAAUACUAGUGUUUUGCGGGACACUUUCCAAAAUAAUUUUUUGCUGGAACUUCACAACAAAAAUGUCAAUGAAUAUGUGUACAACAGGCAGAUAAAAAAAAACAACAACCAAAUAUAAAUGCUAGAACAGAAAAGUGAUUUGUACGCAUGGACGGAAGAAUAGCCGGCGGAGAAAUAAAGAAACCCAUAAAAGAAAGCGAAAACGAUUGAUAUUAAAAAAGCAACAACAAUUUACAAUUUUCUGUGGUAAAAAAAUUAGAAACGAAAUCGGAAACCGUAAAGAUUAAGUCGUCAAACCGGCAUGAAAGCAAUGAAAAUUCAUUAGAAAGCAACAACAACAACAACAAAAACAAUCAAUUAA